GUCCACGCCGUAAACGAUGGACACUAGCUGUCGGGACGCAAGUCUCGGUGGCCAAGCGAAAGUGAUAAGUGUCCCACCUGGGGAGUACGUUCGCAAGAAUGAAACUCAAAGGAAUUGACGGGGGCCCGCACAAGCGGUGGAGCAUGUGGUUUAAUUCGAUGAUACGCGAGGAACCUUACCAGGGCUUAAAUGCAGAAUGACAGGUUUAGAGAUAGACUUUUCUUCGGACAUUUUGCAAGGUGC
Molecule: ribosomal RNA, 243 nt
Filed under: uncultured bacterium
Lineage: Bacteria
Description: partial 16S ribosomal RNA
Rfam family: Bacterial small subunit ribosomal RNA
Source: RNAcentral